GUAUUUGUAAUAUUAGCUUUUGAUUUAGUUUAAGUCCAGAUGCCCAUGACUUCAGCAUUUGAGCAACCCAUGGAUGGAGUCUUAGAGUAUGGCGAUUCGUUGGACACUGCUGAAGGUGUGUCGUUGGAUGUAACUGACAAUAUUGAUGAAUUGGCCUUAAGGCGACCCCCAACUACACUACGAAAUACGACGGCUGCAAAAUAUAAUCACACGAACUGCAAUUGUAUCCUGAAUAUUCCAAAAAUUGAAUUUCAUCGACAAGUUAACCCUCACUUGCUCUGUGGCGAGGACUUGACAAACUUUCUCAAUGACUUGAACAAAGUAAACCGCAGGCAUCUGCCCGAAGAAUCUGAAUUGCGUUGUUUAUUGACUCCAAAAUUGCGACAAAGUAUUACCAACUGCGCCGGAAACUUCCAGAGAUCCGAGGGGCGAUUCGAGGAACAAACAAUCAGUGGUUCGACUAGCAGAGCAGUCGAUUUGGCGCACUUAUUUGAGGUUCACUGGAAUAGAGAAAUUCACGAGCGAAUGCAUGACCUUCCUAGAGCAAUCAGAACUAUAGUAGAUAUCCUGCAAAAUGAAACAGAAAAUAAAAAUGAUGAUCUUGAGGCUUGGAAUCAGCAGCUGAGGGAGUAUGCCGAUGAUUUGAAAUAUAUAGUCGAUGAAUUGGAGCGAAGGUCUAAGUACGUUACUUGGAGCAAUUAAUUUCAGCAAGCAAUUAAGUUUGAACUAUAUGGGCAUGGAGUUGAGGGCUGUAAGCUCAAAACUCAUUGUUUUUUAUUGAAAAUACUCGUGUCUCAAAUUACCUACCUUUAUACGAGAAAAGUAGUUUAACACAUAUAUUAUAACCGCAAUUUCAAUUAUUAUAAAUUUAACUUUGUAGUUUUUACUAAAAAUCUUGUCUGAAAAAUUUUAUUUCCCAUUC
Symsagittifera roscoffensis is the source of this 922-nucleotide long non-coding RNA. RefSeq lists it as uncharacterized. The record is from RefSeq and is a predicted model, not a curated record. The transcript is spliced from 3 exons. Lineage: Eukaryota; Metazoa; Xenacoelomorpha; Acoela; Convolutidae.